GUUUUGGUAGCUUAUUUGGUAAAACGCUCGUUUAGCAUACAAGAGUCCUGGGUUUGAAUCCCAUCCGAACACG
Molecule: transfer RNA, 73 nt
Filed under: Aedes aegypti (yellow fever mosquito)
Lineage: Eukaryota; Metazoa; Arthropoda; Insecta; Diptera; Culicidae
Description: partial tRNA-OTHER
Rfam family: tRNA
About the family: Transfer RNA (tRNA) molecules are approximately 80 nucleotides in length.
Source: RNAcentral